This is a non-coding RNA of Hydra vulgaris (swiftwater hydra), 419 nucleotides long. NCBI's taxonomy places the organism in Eukaryota, Metazoa, Cnidaria, Hydrozoa, Anthoathecata, Hydridae. The record is from RefSeq and is a predicted model, not a curated record.
UUGAGUCAAGAAGAUCUAGCAUUCAACAUCCUAAACUGGAAAUAAUGUAUUAAAAAUAUAUCUGAGCCAGCCAAAUAGAUGAAGGAUAAAAUAUGAACAAGCAAUAGAGUUUACUGCAACUUUUUUUCUCACACACUUUCUCAGAAGACAGAAAACUCUUCAGCAACAUGUGCCUUAAGAAGUCCUUACGGUCACAGAGCAAGGCGGAAGAGCAUUUUUAAAGAAAGGUCAUGCUUCCAUCCUUAAAGAUUUUAUUAAACUUGUCCUGAGGUGGCAUUGAACCACGAUUCUCUAGUUUCUGAGGCAAGCACGCUAACCUCUGCGCUACGGCUGCUCAUUUAUAUGUUUUUAUAUCCUAUAAUUAUAUUUAAUAUUUUAUAUGCUAUAAAAACCAAGUACUGUGGUACUUGGUUUUUUUA